This 813-nucleotide long non-coding RNA is filed under the name Salvia miltiorrhiza (redroot sage). RNAcentral's name for it is "long non-coding RNA (SMIL_LNC007634)". Lineage: Eukaryota; Viridiplantae; Streptophyta; Magnoliopsida; Lamiales; Lamiaceae. The record is from RNAcentral.
GAAUGAGGUUUGAGAAGAAUGACACACGGGCUAAGGUUUACAGUAUGACAACAAUUUUAAUUAACAUAUUAAACACUUUUACACAAUAACACACAUAUUAACCAAUUAAUUGGACAAAUAACACCAACAUAACAAUAACAUAAGUCAAAUCUCAUUUUUCUUUAAAAAAAAAAAAAAAAAAAAAAAAAGAGACCACCACUCAAAUCUCAUUCCAUAUAAUAUACCAAAUUCAGAAACCAAAUAAUAAGUCUACAAAUUCAGAAACACUGACAUAACAGAUCUCAUUCCAAAUAAUAAGCACGCAAAUUCAGAAAAACUAACAUAACAGGGAUGCGCGACUCGGCCAUGUCGAUCUCUAAACCCUCUGGUAUCUCUCUCGAGGCUUUGUUUCCUCACACCACUAUCUGUUGCGCCUCUCUGGCAAUCUGGCAAGCUCUAUACCCUCUGGCUAUCUCUCCCGAGACUUGUUUCCUCACACCACUAUUAUCUUUUAUAUACUUCUUCUUUUAUAUACUUCUCCUCCUACGAAUAGAGUCCCAUUUUCUUUUUCUUUUUUUGAGGAUAAUUAGAGUCCCAUUCGAUGAAUUUCCUACCAUACUAUACACAGACACACGUUUCCUACCAUGGGGGCACGUGCCCCCACAACUAAUUUUUUUUUUUUUUAUUAGUUAUGUAUACUUCUCAAGCCCAAACUUAAUCGGUGCCCCCUUCAGAUAUUUUUAUAUGAAUUCCCAAAUCCCAAGCCCCCCAAAACCCCAAAAUCAACUCCUUUUAAGAAAUUCGGCGGCUCUGUCUAUCUCCAUUAAUUUUUUU